CCCGCCACUAUACCAGUCUGUCUGUGGCCGAGUAUACUCCAGUGGAGGCUCAGAGCGACCCGGCUUUAGGAAACAGAACUGUCCACACUAAUGGACAACUCUGUGCCGAAAAGUCUGGAACACAA
Nematolebias whitei (Rio pearlfish) is the source of this 125-nucleotide small nucleolar RNA. RefSeq annotates it as small nucleolar RNA SNORA65. The record is from RefSeq and is a predicted model, not a curated record. The transcript has a single exon. Lineage: Eukaryota; Metazoa; Chordata; Actinopteri; Cyprinodontiformes; Rivulidae.